AGGCUGGAUAACUUCACCUAUUAAUCUUGAAAAUGUACUUUCUAACUAUCUCCAACCUAAAUAUUUAAAUAAAUUCCUUGGUGCUAAGUACUUACAUAGCUCAUCACAGCAUUCAAGGGAAUACAAACCAGCUCUUAAAUAAACCUUACAGCUAAGGAAUUUUGACAAUUAAUAAAAAAUGAUUAGUGGAUUUUGUUUGCACACUAAUAUAUAAAAAAAAUUCACUGCAGUACUUUUAGCAGCAUUUUAAAAUUUUAUAACUAAAAGUACAGAUGUAACUUUUAAAAUGUAAUACUAUA
RNAcentral lists this long non-coding RNA (299 nucleotides) under Bos taurus (domestic cattle). RNAcentral's name for it is "long non-coding RNA NONBTAT001544". Lineage: Eukaryota; Metazoa; Chordata; Mammalia; Artiodactyla; Bovidae. The record is from RNAcentral.